AAGUCGUAACAAGGUUUCCGUAGGUGAACCUGCGGAAGGAUCAUUACUGAAUUAAAGAGAGUUGAUGCUGGCGUUCACUCGUAUGUGCUCACUCUCCUAAUCCAUUUACACCUGUGCACCCUUUCGAAGAAGGCAAGGCUCUCAGAAGCCUCUGAUUUAUCAGAGGUAGAUAAGAGUCUUCCUUCUUUGAACUACAUACCCUUAUUUUAAUAAUGAAUGUUAAUCUGCCGAAAGGCGAAAUAAAUACAACUUUUAACAACGGAUCUCUUGGCUCUC
This 276-nucleotide unclassified non-coding RNA is filed under the name Sistotrema sp. RNAcentral's name for it is "partial contains small subunit ribosomal RNA, internal transcribed spacer 1, and 5.8S ribosomal RNA". The stretch from base 1 to 46 matches the Rfam family "Eukaryotic small subunit ribosomal RNA", at positions 1786 to 1831 of the family's 1831-position model. Lineage: Eukaryota; Fungi; Basidiomycota; Agaricomycetes; Cantharellales; Hydnaceae. The record is from RNAcentral.